RNAcentral lists this ribosomal RNA (252 nucleotides) under uncultured bacterium. RNAcentral describes it as "partial 16S ribosomal RNA". It matches the Rfam family "Bacterial small subunit ribosomal RNA", at positions 525 to 775 of the family's 1533-position model. The record is from RNAcentral.
ACGGGGGGUGUAAGCGUUGUUCGGAAUUACUGGGCGUAAAGGGCGUGCAGGCGGUCUGUGCAAGUUGAAUGUGAAAUCCCUGAGCUUAACUCAGGACGUGCGUUCAAGACUGCGAGACUUGAAUACGGGAGAGGGUCGUGGAAUUCCUGGUGUAGAGGUGAAAUUCGUAGAGAUCAGGAGGAACACUCGUGGCGAAGGCGACGACCUGGACCGAUAUUGACGCUGAGACGCGAAAGCGUGGGUAGCAAACAG